RNAcentral lists this ribosomal RNA (423 nucleotides) under uncultured bacterium. RNAcentral's name for it is "bacterial SSU rRNA". It matches the Rfam family "Bacterial small subunit ribosomal RNA", at positions 361 to 775 of the family's 1533-position model. The record is from RNAcentral.
AUCUUCCGCAAUGGACGAAAGUCUGACGGAGCAACGCCGCGUGAGUGAUGAAGGCUUUCGGGUCGUAAAACUCUGUUGUUAGGGAAGAACAAGUGCUAGUUGAAUAAGCUGGCACCUUGACGGUACCUAACCAGAAAGCCACGGCUAACUACGUGCCAGCAGCCGCGGUAAUACGUAGGUGGCAAGCGUUAUCCGGAAUUAUUGGGCGGAAAGCGCGCGCAGGUGGUUUCUUAAGUUUAAUGUGAAAGACAACGGCUCAACCGUGGAGGGUCAUGGGAAACUGAGAGACUUGAGUGCGGAAGAGGAAAGUGGAAUUCCAUGUGUAGCGGUGAAAUGCGUAGAGAUAUGGAGGAACACCAGUGGCGAAGGCGACUUUCUGGUCUGUAACUGACACUGAGGCGCGAAAGCGUGGGGAGCAAACAG